CUCGAGCAUCAAAGAGAAAAUCUGACACCCCCAAAUCUACUUCUGUCAAAUCUGCUCGCUCGGAGUCUAUCACAACUGCUUCAAGCAAGACUACGAAGUUUGGAUUGUCCGUUGAUAAUCUUUUUCAGAAGUAUGCCAAUAAGCUGCUAGGCAUGAUCGAUCCAGAGGGGAUUGAGGCACUUUGCUCAGAUCUUGGAGUAGACUACACAAAUGUCAAAAUUUUGAUGCUCGCUUGGAAAUUGAAAGCUGAAAAGCAGGGAUAUUUUACUCAGGAUGAAUGGAGAAAAGGUUUAAAAGAUCUCCAGGUUGAUACGAUUAACAAAUUGAAAAAAGCCCUGCCAAAAUUGGAAGCAGAGGUUAUGAUGCCUGAAAAUUUUGAGGAUUUUUAUUCCUACGCCUUCCGUUACUGCCUUACUGAGGAUAAGCAGAAGUGUGUGGACAUCGAGAGCAUUUGUCUACUGAUUGAUCUUGUUCUGGGGCCCCAAUUUCGUGCUCAGGUUGACUCAUUUAGUGAGUUUCUCAAGAAUCAGACUGAUUAUAAGGUGAUCAACGUGGAUCAAUGGAUGAAUUUUCUUCGGUUUUGUCAAGAGGUUAGCUUUCCAGACCUUGAAAACUAUGAUCUCGACCAAGCAUGGCCUGUGAUUUUGGAUAAUUUUGUUGAGUGGAUGAGAGAAAAACAAAAGUGAUCUGCGCUGUUGAGUUCUUGUAAAUGCUAACGAAAAGAAUUUGAAGUGUGUGCACGGGACUUUUGCUUGCAUGAUUCAUAACAGCUGCAUCAUUCAGCGGGAGGCUGGUUUUCUUUCUGCUACAGAACUACAAGCCUGAGGAGGAUUCAACACAUUUCUGUCGAAGGGGAUAUACUAAAAUUUCUUCCUUGAAGAACGCUUGUAGGAACCUUUUUAAUUUUUCGUCUUAGUUACAAACGAAAUGUAGCUGCUAUUUUUUCUCUGUCCAACUUCUUGAUUUUGGAACUUCACUAGUAACAUAGUGAUAUGGAUCAUUUGAUCCUUAUAUGGUAGUCAUACAUGUGAAUGGAGG
This 1038-nucleotide unclassified non-coding RNA is filed under the name Hevea brasiliensis (rubber tree). The record is from RNAcentral. Lineage: Eukaryota; Viridiplantae; Streptophyta; Magnoliopsida; Malpighiales; Euphorbiaceae.